Rheinheimera sp. SA_1 is the source of this 73-nucleotide transfer RNA. It matches the Rfam family "tRNA". Rfam says of the family: Transfer RNA (tRNA) molecules are approximately 80 nucleotides in length. Their secondary structure includes four short double-helical elements and three loops (D, anti-codon, and T loops). Further hydrogen bonds mediate the characteristic L-shaped molecular structure. tRNAs have two regions of fundamental functional importance: the anti-codon, which is responsible for specific mRNA codon recognition, and the 3' end, to which the tRNAs corresponding amino acid is attached (by aminoacyl-tRNA synthetases). tRNAs cope with the degeneracy of the genetic code in two manners: having more than one tRNA (with a specific anti-codon) for a particular amino acid; and 'wobble' base-pairing, i.e. permitting non-standard base-pairing at the 3rd anti-codon position. NCBI's taxonomy places the organism in Bacteria, Pseudomonadati, Pseudomonadota, Gammaproteobacteria, Chromatiales, Chromatiaceae. The record is from Rfam.
GGGGUUAUAGCUCAGCUGGGAGAGCGCCUGCCUUGCACGCAGGAGGUCAGCGGUUCGAUCCCGCUUAACUCCA